This 2686-nucleotide long non-coding RNA is filed under the name Sus scrofa (pig). RNAcentral's name for it is "lncRNA (ENSSSCG00055002884.1)". Lineage: Eukaryota; Metazoa; Chordata; Mammalia; Artiodactyla; Suidae. The record is from RNAcentral.
UUUUUUUUUUUUUUUAGUAAUAUAGGUUGUAUUAUAAGACUUAUGAAAAUACGUUGUUACACAAAAGUGAUAAAGUCUGUAAAAUUCUUUUCCAAUUCCAAAACCAAGUUUAAAGCUUAAAAUAUUAACUGGCAGCUGUAAUUAGAUGAUAAAGGCCAGCUUAAAUGAUAAAAGCAUUUAUUUACCCUGAGAUUUGCCUUUAUAAUUUCUAUUACUUGUUUAUUAUACACUUUUUCAGUAAACUUUUAUUAUUCACCUUUUAUAUAUGAGGGCUUUGCCAGGUACUGGGCGUUCAGACAUUACGCAAUUACUGUCAUUUAAGAAGCUAAUGGAGAACACAGACCUGUUAAAAAAAAAAUGCAAUGAAGAGUUCCCGUUGUGGCUCAGAGGGUUAAGAACCUGACUAGUAUCCAUGAGGAUGUGGGUUAGAUCCCUGGCCUUGCUCAGUGGGUUAAGGGUCCAGUGUUGCCUUGAGCUGCAGUGUAGGUUGUAGAUGUGGCUUGGAUCUGAUGUUGCUCCAAGUUGCAGUUGGAGCAGCUUCUAUCUGGAGCUGCUCCAACUGCAGCUCCAAUUGGACACCUAGCCUGGGAACUUCCAUAUGCUGCAGGUGUGGCCCUAAAAAGAAAAAAAAUGCAAUGAGAGUAUUAAAAAAAAAAAAAAAAAAAAAAAGGGAGUUCCUGUGGUGGCGCAGUAGUUAACGAAUCUGACUAGUAUCCAUGAAGACGUGGGUUCGAUCCCUGGCCUCCAUCAGUGGGUUAAGGAUCUGGCGUUGCCGUGAGCUGUGGUGUAGGUCACAGACGCGGCUCAGAUCUGGCAUUGCUGUGGCUCUGGCGUAGGCUGGUGGCUACAGUUCCGAUUAGACCCCUAGCCUGGGAACCUACAUAUGCCACAAGAGUGGCCCUAGAAAAAGGCAAAAAGAGAAUAAAUAAAUAAAUAAAAAUAAAAAUAAAAAAAAAGAACGAUUAACCAUCAGAGGCCUUUGACUGCCUUUGGGACAGGAGAUGGAAAACCUUAAUUUAUUUAAUGACGGAAUCCAUCAAUCCAGCAGAAAGUGUAUGGCACCCUCAGAACAGAAGAAUUUGAGACCAGUUGAAUGUAGGACCCUCACAAAGUGUGGCCAGGGAAUAAAGAAACUACAAGGCCUGGGGGGUGUGUACCACCCUUAAGCUCAACCGGAGGAGGAAGAAGAAACUGUCACAUCUCUUUCCCCUCUGAACCUCUUGCCGCAGCUCCCCAUUGGCUGAAUAUAACCAGAGGUAAUAGGGCCUGACUGCUGACAGAUGUCGUGCAUGUAGGUGACCCUUUUGGGAAAGAAGAUAGGUGGGGAAGGGUGAAGAUGGGGCAAACGCAAUACCUGGCGGUAUGAGUUUAGCUGGUCUGAGACAAAUAAGAAGCUCCCUGAGAAACUGCAGUGGGAGGGGAAGGUUGUGAGUGGGCCAGUCCGUAUCAGAAGAACAAAAGAGGAGCUUUUGUUCUGGGUUUAAUGUGGCUGGAAUUUAGGGCCUGCAUUGUGUCUUGGGGUGGGUUUGCGUCAUUAGGAAAGACAAUCCCUCUUUUCCGUUUAGGGUGAAGUGAGAUGUCGAAACAAAAUGGUCAAGUUCUCUGAGUGAUUCUGAAGUUUGCAUUGGCCGUGUGCCGCUGCCCUGUAGACUAUGUAUCCGUGUUUCACUUCUCUUUCUCUGUCUUUCUCUUUUGAGAAACUCUGGGGAAAACGUGUCUUGAACUCUGCCCCUGCUUGGAAUUCAACAGUGUGUAUGUGUGUGCGCACGCGGGCGUGCAAGCAUGUGUGCAUGUGCAUGCAGCCUGAAGAAGUCUGUACACUCUUCUUCAAAAAUAGGCUUUUCAAAUAUCUAAAAUAUGGUAUAUAGGAUUAUGAAGGAAACAAUUAUAUUAAAAUGCUGUUAUUAUUAUAUCGAAAAAGUUGUAAAAUAAGAGCUACUUUGUAUAUUAAAGAGGACAUUCCUCUAGCACAUCUGUUAAAUAUUGUAAUUUCACUGUAAUGAUGCAAUAGUAAGCACAGAAAGUACGUCAGGGUAGCAGUGGUCCUGCUCCAUGACAACAUCUGUGAUUCUGCUAGUGACAGAGGCAAUUCAAGGAAGUGUUACAUUCACCUAGAAGUUAACACAAAUUGAGAUGGGAUUUUUUUCCCAUCCAAGUUUUGGACUUACUGGUGGUCUGUGGACCUCACAUUAAAAAAAUACCUGUUUUAUAAAUUACUUACAAUAUUUUUGAACAAAUGAAGUGAGUUUUACUCUCAUUAAAUUCACCAAACAUAGGGUAAAUGUGUGUAUUAUGCCAAAUAUUGUACUAAAGAGGUACAUAGUGAGGGAAAGCGUCAAAAAAUUUUUUUUAUUGGAGUUUAAUUUAUAAUGUCGUGUUAGUUUCUGGUGUAUAGCAAGGCGAAUCAAUUAUAUAUAUACAGGAGUUCCCGUCGUGGCGCAGUAGUUAACAAAUCCGACUAGGAACCAUGAGGUUGUGGGUUCGGUCCCUGCCUUUGCUCAGUGGGUUAACGAUCCGGCGUUGCCGUGAGCUGUGGUGUAGGUCGCAGACGCGGCUCGGAUCCCGCGUUGCUGUGGCUCUGGCGUAGGCCGGUGGCUACAGCUCCGAUUCGACCCCUAGCCUGGGAACCUCCAUAUGCCGCGGGAGCGGCCCAAAGAAAUAGCAAAAAGACAAAAAAAAAAAAAAA